This 2901-nucleotide ribosomal RNA is filed under the name Klebsiella pneumoniae. RNAcentral describes it as "23S ribosomal RNA". It matches the Rfam family "Bacterial large subunit ribosomal RNA". The record is from RNAcentral. Lineage: Bacteria; Pseudomonadati; Pseudomonadota; Gammaproteobacteria; Enterobacterales; Enterobacteriaceae.
GGUUAAGCGACUAAGCGUACACGGUGGAUGCCCUGGCAGUCAGAGGCGAUGAAGGACGUGCUAAUCUGCGAAAAGCGUCGGUAAGGUGAUAUGAACCGUUAUAGCCGGCGAUGUCCGAAUGGGGAAACCCAGUGUGAUUCGUCACACUAUCGUUAACUGAAUACAUAGGUUAACGAGGCGAACCGGGGGAACUGAAACAUCUAAGUACCCCGAGGAAAAGAAAUCAACCGAGAUUCCCCCAGUAGCGGCGAGCGAACGGGGAGCAGCCCAGAGUCUGAAUCAGCUUGUGUGUUAGUGGAACGGUCUGGAAAGUCCGACGGUACAGGGUGAUAGUCCCGUACACCAAAAUGCACAGGUUGUGAACUCGAAGAGUAGGGCGGGACACGUGGUAUCCUGUCUGAAUAUGGGGGGACCAUCCUCCAAGGCUAAAUACUCCUGACUGACCGAUAGUGAACCAGUACCGUGAGGGAAAGGCGAAAAGAACCCCGGCGAGGGGAGUGAAAAAGAACCUGAAACCGUGUACGUACAAGCAGUGGGAGCACCUUCGGGUGUGACUGCGUACCUUUUGUAUAAUGGGUCAGCGACUUAUAUUCUGUAGCAAGGUUAACCGUAUAGGGGAGCCGCAGGGAAACCGAGUCUUAACUGGGCGUUAAGUUGCAGGGUAUAGACCCGAAACCCGGUGAUCUAGCCAUGGGCAGGUUGAAGGUUGGGUAACACUAACUGGAGGACCGAACCGACUAAUGUUGAAAAAUUAGCGGAUGACUUGUGGCUGGGGGUGAAAGGCCAAUCAAACCGGGAGAUAGCUGGUUCUCCCCGAAAGCUAUUUAGGUAGCGCCUCGUGAACUCAUCUUCGGGGUAGAGCACUGUUUCGGCUAGGGGGUCAUCCCGACUUACCAACCCGAUGCAAACUACGAAUACCGAAGAAUGUUAUCACGGGAGACACACGGCGGGUGCUAACGUCCGUCGUGAAGAGGGAAACAACCCAGACCGCCAGCUAAGGUCCCAAAGUCAUGGUUAAGUGGGAAACGAUGUGGGAAGGCACAGACAGCCAGGAUGUUGGCUUAGAAGCAGCCAUCAUUUAAAGAAAGCGUAAUAGCUCACUGGUCGAGUCGGCCUGCGCGGAAGAUGUAACGGGGCUAAACCAUGCACCGAAGCUGCGGCAGCGACACUAUGUGUUGUUGGGUAGGGGAGCGUUCUGUAAGCCUGCGAAGGUGACCUGUGAGGGUUGCUGGAGGUAUCAGAAGUGCGAAUGCUGACAUAAGUAACGAUAAAGCGGGUGAAAAGCCCGCUCGCCGGAAGACCAAGGGUUCCUGUCCAACGUUAAUCGGGGCAGGGUGAGUCGACCCCUAAGGCGAGGCCGAAAGGCGUAGUCGAUGGGAAACAGGUUAAUAUUCCUGUACUUGGUGUUACUGCGAAGGGGGGACGGAGAAGGCUAUGUUAGCCGGGCGACGGUUGUCCCGGUUUAAGCAUGUAGGCUGAUUGUCCAGGCAAAUCCGGAUAAUCAAGGCUGAGGUGUGAUGACGAGGCACUACGGUGCUGAAGUAACAAAUGCCCUGCUUCCAGGAAAAGCCUCUAAGCAUCAGGUAACAUUAAAUCGUACCCCAAACCGACACAGGUGGUCAGGUAGAGAAUACCAAGGCGCUUGAGAGAACUCGGGUGAAGGAACUAGGCAAAAUGGUGCCGUAACUUCGGGAGAAGGCACGCUGGUGUGUAGGUGAAGUCCCUGCGGAUGGAGCUGAGACCAGUCGAAGAUACCAGCUGGCUGCAACUGUUUAUUAAAAACACAGCACUGUGCAAACACGAAAGUGGACGUAUACGGUGUGACGCCUGCCCGGUGCCGGAAGGUUAAUUGAUGGGGUUAUCCGUAAGGAGAAGCUCUUGAUCGAAGCCCCGGUAAACGGCGGCCGUAACUAUAACGGUCCUAAGGUAGCGAAAUUCCUUGUCGGGUAAGUUCCGACCUGCACGAAUGGCGUAAUGAUGGCCAGGCUGUCUCCACCCGAGACUCAGUGAAAUUGAACUCGCUGUGAAGAUGCAGUGUACCCGCGGCAAGACGGAAAGACCCCGUGAACCUUUACUAUAGCUUGACACUGAACAUUGAGCCUUGAUGUGUAGGAUAGGUGGGAGGCUUUGAAGCGUGGACGCCAGUCUGCGUGGAGCCAACCUUGAAAUACCACCCUUUAAUGUUUGAUGUUCUAACGUUGGCCCCUGACCGGGGUUGCGGACAGUGUCUGGUGGGUAGUUUGACUGGGGCGGUCUCCUCCCAAAGCGUAACGGAGGAGCACGAAGGUUAGCUAAUCCUGGUCGGACAUCAGGAGGUUAGUGCAAUGGCAUAAGCUAGCUUGACUGCGAGCGUGACGGCGCGAGCAGGUGCGAAAGCAGGUCAUAGUGAUCCGGUGGUUCUGAAUGGAAGGGCCAUCGCUCAACGGAUAAAAGGUACUCCGGGGAUAACAGGCUGAUACCGCCCAAGAGUUCAUAUCGACGGCGGUGUUUGGCACCUCGAUGUCGGCUCAUCACAUCCUGGGGCUGAAGUAGGUCCCAAGGGUAUGGCUGUUCGCCAUUUAAAGUGGUACGCGAGCUGGGUUUAGAACGUCGUGAGACAGUUCGGUCCCUAUCUGCCGUGGGCGCUGGAGAAUUGAGGGGGGCUGCUCCUAGUACGAGAGGACCGGAGUGGACGCAUCACUGGUGUUCGGGUUGUCAUGCCAAUGGCACUGCCCGGUAGCUAAAUGCGGAAGAGAUAAGUGCUGAAAGCAUCUAAGCACGAAACUUGCCCCGAGAUGAGUUCUCCCUGAGACUUUAAGUCUCCUGAAGGAACGUUGAAGACGACGACGUUGAUAGGCCGGGUGUGUAAGCGCAGCGAUGCGUUGAGCUAACCGGUACUAAUGAACCGUGAGGCUUAACCUU